GAAACGCGAUAAACUCUGUGUUAGGAAGAACAAGUAUCAGAGAACUGCUGGUACCUUGACGGUACCUAACCAGAAAGCCACGGCUAACUACGUGCCAGCAGCCGCGGUAAUACGUAGGUGGCAAGCGUUGUCCGGAAUUAUUGGGCGUAAAGCGCGCGCAGGCGGUCCUUUAAGUCUGAUGUGAAAGCCCACGGCUCAACCGUGGAGGGUCAUUGGAAACUGGGGGACUUGAGUACAGAAGAGAAGAGUGGAAUUCCACGUGUAGCGGUGAAAUGCGUAGAGAUGUGGAGGAACACCAGUGGCGAAGGCAGACUCUUUGGUCUGUAACUUGACGCUUGAGGCGCGAAGGCGUGGGGAGCAAACAGGAUUAGAUACCCUGGUAGUCCCCCCUGUAACGAUAUGCUAAGUGUUA
RNAcentral lists this ribosomal RNA (412 nucleotides) under uncultured bacterium. Its description in RNAcentral is "bacterial SSU rRNA". It matches the Rfam family "Bacterial small subunit ribosomal RNA", at positions 418 to 825 of the family's 1533-position model. The record is from RNAcentral.